UGUUAAAAUUUCAUCAAUUUGUACUGUUAAAAACUAGCGUGGCUGACAGAAUAAUCAAGUAGUGUGCCACGUAUACCUUAUGUUGAUGUUAAAAGAUCAAUUUUUAACAGUAGAAAUGAAAGGAAUUUUUAUA
Molecule: microRNA precursor, 133 nt
Filed under: Gossypium arboreum
Lineage: Eukaryota; Viridiplantae; Streptophyta; Magnoliopsida; Malvales; Malvaceae
Description: MIR7502 microRNA precursor family
Rfam family: MIR7502 microRNA precursor family
Source: Rfam by way of RNAcentral